GCUUGUUUAAAUUUAUAAUCUUCUAUUAUGCAGGUGUUACAGGAGUUGGCAACGAAAGCCUCCAUGGAUGUGGAUGCAGCUAAUGUAAAGGAGGGAGUGUUGGAGCAGCAGGGGAUUAUCGACGGGGUGGAAGAACAAGAGGAUUCAAACCCAGGGUUAGAUGAAGCAGACACGACAGUUGGUACACU
Molecule: long non-coding RNA, 188 nt
Organism: Arabidopsis lyrata subsp. lyrata
Lineage: Eukaryota; Viridiplantae; Streptophyta; Magnoliopsida; Brassicales; Brassicaceae
Exons: 2
Source: RefSeq, a predicted model, not a curated record